This 5057-nucleotide long non-coding RNA is filed under the name Homo sapiens (human). RNAcentral's name for it is "HSALNT0040671". Lineage: Eukaryota; Metazoa; Chordata; Mammalia; Primates; Hominidae. The record is from RNAcentral.
CUGCUGUAUUGUUUUACCAUAUUUUGUUGUUUUACAUGGUGUUGAACUGUAUUUUCCUUUUCAGCUUAUUUUUAAUUUAAAAAAUGUUUAUUCUUUUAUAUAGAUUUUAUUCUAUUCCAUUGUGCAAUUUUAGGUUCAUAGCAAAAUUGGGCAGAAAGUACAGUGAGAUCCCUGUAUCCCCUUACCCUCAACUUAUUUUUUUUCUUUCUUUUUCUUUUUGAGACAGGGACUCAUUCUGCUGCCCAGGCUAGAAUGCAGUGGUGUAAUCAUGGCUCAUUGCAACCUCCACCUCCUGGGCUCGAGUGAUCCUCCCAUCUGAACCUCCCCAACUAGCUGGAACCACUGGUGCGCACUACCACAUCCGGCUAAUUUUUGCAUUUUUUGUAGAGACAGGUUUUCACCACGUUGCCCAGGCUAAUCUCAAACUCCUGAACUCAAGCGAUCUGCCCACCUCGGCCACCCAAAGUGCCAGGAUUACAGGAGCAGAAAUUUGCAACCUCCUCUUUGCCGCAACACACCAAAAGGAGCAGAAUCAUUGACUCUUAGUAGUUCUCAGCUGUGAUGCAACAAAGCAUUUCAAAACCUCUAGCUGAAUGCUAAGACAAAGGCUUCUCAUUGUGUGAAAGCUGAAGGAUCUCUCCCUGCAUUCCCUUCAUGGGCAUCUCUAGGCUACUUGGCCUCAUGGAUGCUUCAGGCUCUCCAGUGGCUUCAGAGAUCCCUAGUUUCCAGCAUUCCCCCUCCUGCUGCAUGUCUCAGUCUAACUGGUCAUUGAUAGUGGCAGGAGACAGACAAAUUCCUAGGCCGACAGGGUUGGGUUCCUGGUGAAACCCAGCCUUCAAAUCAAAGACAAUUUAAAGCCUGAAAACCGACCUGCUGAUUCCAGAUAGAGUCUACAACCAGAGUAAGAACUUCUAUUCCUGUUCGCCCACUGUUUCCCUAGUUGGUCCUUUCUGAAUAAUGCUUUUUUUUUUUUUUUUUUUUUUGAGAUGGUGUCUCACUCUGUUGUCCAGGCUGGAGUUCAAUGGCACGAUUUUGGCUCACUGCAUCCCCCACCUCCCAGGUUCAAGUGAUUCUCCUGCCUCAGCCUCCCGAAUAGCUGGGAUUACAGGCAUGCCACCACACUCCGCUAAUUUUGUAUUUUUAGCCAAGACGCGGUCUCACCAUGUUGGUCAGGCUGGUCUUGAACUCCUGACCUCAGGUGAUCCACCUGCCUUGGCCCCUCAAAGUGCUGGGAUUACAGGCAUGAUGAAUAAUGCUUUUUAACCAAUCAAAUGUUGCCUUUUCCAAGGCUACCUACAACCUGCGCCUCCUAAUUGCAAACCUAUAAAAACCCCAGACUCAGCCACACAGACAGCAACCUGCUUUCUGGCCCUUGGUACACAGCGGGCUACCCACUUUGGGUCCCCUCUUGCUGUUGAGAGCUUUUCUGUCGUUCAAUAAAAUGAUUCUCUGCCUUGCUUACUCUACGCUGUCUGCAUACCUCAUUCUUCUUGGUUGCAGGACAGGAACCCAGAACCUGAAGAAUAAUGGGAGCAAAAAAGUUUGUAACAUACUCCUGGCCAGCUCACCAAGCUGAAGGGGGUGAGGAUGACAGGAGCUGUGACCCUUCUGGGGGCCCAGACCUUGGGACUCUCUGAGCCAGAGCUGUAACACACCACUGUUCACUAAGCCACAGGCGGCAGGAAUGAACAAGCUAUAAUACGUUCCCACUCGCCGAGCUGCAAGCAGCAGGAAGGAGAAAGAGAGUUGUGGCAUUCCCCGGUGUCUCAGACCUCGGGACUCCCCUAGCAGAAGCUGUGACCCCCACUUGGUGCUCCGUGGUUGCUUGUUUUUCUGAGUUCUCUGGCACCACCUUGUCCCUCCUUGUCUGAAGGCCCACACCCAGCUGUGGAAACCACUUUGGGCACACCCGGUCCCACUAUGGGCUGUGCGCAGAGCUGUGGUGAUCACAGAAUCUGGGAGUGAGCCAACAACAGCCUGCCAGGCCAAGCGGGCGGAGCAAGCCCAGAGGGACUGAGCAAAGCUGGGGCAGAGUACCAGCCACAGAGGUUUUCAGCUGGCAAAGCGGCAGCAAAAGAAUCCUGUCUCAUCAUCAUGUUACAACUUCCUUUGGACAGUUUCUUAACUUCAUUCCCUGUCUCUAUAUUUCACCUUAUAAUCAAAACUCUAUGUCAUCCAUAGAUCAAUUUUUCUAAAAUGCAAAUGAAAUCAUGUCUUAAGAUAUUAUGUAAAGGCCUUUUAUAAAAUACAUUUUUUUCUAUAUUAUGAUUAUUUUUCAUUGUAGAGAUGGGGGUCUCACUAUGUUGCCCAGGCUUAAAAGCCUUUCUUAUUGAUAUCUGAAAAGGGUGAAGUUUUAAUAUGACACACCGGGCCUGUGCCUAGUUCUAGAGUCUCAUUUUGAGUGUCUCUUCCCCAUGGAUGCUAUAGUUCAGCAAACUUAAAAUUGAACUGCCCCAAACUCUCUCACUUGCCUCUCUGUUUUUCCUUAAGUGCAGUUACUUCUUUUCUUUGCAAUAUUCUUUUUUGUGUCUCUUUCUUUCUUUCUUUUUUCCCAUUCACCACUGAUCAGAAGGCAGGAAUAUUUUCUUUCUUGAUUGCCCUUUUUAGGAAAUCAACUUGAGUUUCAAUCCUAACUUUGAGAUAUUACUUUGUACUCCAGUCAGUUUGUUGUCUCUUUUUAAAAUGUUUCCGGCUGGGUGUGGUGGCUCAUGCCUGUAAUCUCAAUGCUUUGGGAUGCUGAGGCAGGAACACUGCUUGAGGCCAGGAGCUCAAGAUGAGCCUGGGCAACAAAGUGAGGCCCCAUCUCUGCAAGAAAUUUUUAAAAAUACAAUAAGAUAGAGAGGAAAUAAGAUAAUUACUUCUGAAGGAGGUAACAUGUUCUAUAAAUCAGAAGUAUGACUGGAGGUAUGAGGUAUCCUGGAGGUAUGUGUGGAUUUAUCUGCCUGGUAUGGCCCAAUUCUCUUUGUUAUUAAAGCAGGAAAUCAACACGACUCAAGUUUAGCACCAGGUAACGUAGGUUUCAUGUGGCAAGAUGACUUAGCUAAACUUGAUCAUCAUGUUUGAAGCCAAUGGCUGCUGAUCUUUACUUCCCUAUCAAACCUGCUGCAAUGCUUUAUAGUAAUGGCUAUGUACUUUCUAUACACUGUCUCCUUCAGUCUUAUGUCUCUUUCCAAUACUCAGAGUGGAAUGGAGUUUAGGGAUUGCUCCCUGGUCUAUCCAAUUUUCCAAAAUUACUACUCUGGGUAAGAUUUUUUUUUUUUUUUUAAUUUUUUGAGACAGGGUCUCACUCUGGCUGCUCAGGCUGGAAGGCAGUAGCACCAUCACAGUGCACCGUAGCCUCGACCUCCAAGUUCCAGGCUCAAGUGAUCCUCCCUCCUCAGCCCUACAGGCAUGUGCCACUGCACCUAGCUAAUUUAAAAUUUUUUUUGGUAGACUCCCUAAUUUGCCCAGGCUGGUCUCAAACUCCUGAGAUCAAGCAAUUCUCCCACCUCAGCCUCCCAAAAUGUUGGGAUUACAGGCAUGAGCCACCACACCUAGCCAAGAUAUUCUUCACUGUAUUCCACGGGACCAUACCUCCUGUCCAGGGAGAACUCCCUGGCUCACAAAAGAUAAGAGUGCACUCUCUAUGCCUAGCUUCUUUUUUUAUAUUUAUUUAUUUGUGACAGGGUCAGGUUUUGCUGCCCAGGCUAGAGUGCAGUGGUGCAAUCAUGGCUCAGUGGCUCACUGCAGCCUGGACCUCCCAGGCUCAAGCAAUCUCCCACCUCAGCCUCCUGAGAAGCUGAGACUACAGGCGCAUGCCACUACAUCUGUCUGAUUUUUGUAUUUUUAUUUUAUAGAGAUGGGAGUCUCCCUAUGUUGCCCAGGCUAGUCUCAAACUCCUAGGCUCAAACAUUCCACCUGCCUUGGCCUCCCGAAGUGCUGGGAUUACAGGCAUAAGCCACUGUGUCUGGCCCCACACUUGGACUUCGUAGGUCUGAAACUUCAUUUUAUUCAAGAGCUAUUCUUAAUAUAAUAGUUUGUGGUUUAAGAUUAUAGCUAUUAACUUUUAUUAAAGACAGAAUUUUCUUCUCAGUUUUCUAAAAAGCUUUUUUUUUUUUCAUAUUCUCUUGGCUUUAAAGAGAAGAGCAGUGUAAAAGUGGCUAGUCUGCCCCUUUAACUGCAAGUUCCCCUUAAAUCUUACUUUCACUUCCACAGUGUUACUGAACCUCCUCUCUGACAAAGGUCUAAUGACUUCCUAAUUGACAAAUCAAAAACUGCCUUCUCUGCUGACAGCCUCUACAUUGAAAGCUUUCGUUCCUAUCACUUCUUUUACAGUGCAAAUCUCAGUUAAUUUCUAUUCUCAUUCUCCUUUGUCUUCUCUUUCAAUCUCACUCCACUCUUUUCCUUGGGUUACUAAGGACAAACAUAUCCCUUUAUUUUUGUACUUGUAGCAGUUUUUGUACUGCUCUUAAUAACCCUUAGUAUAGGCUAAGUUCUCACUUUACCUGUACACAUGAUUGCUGCUGUGAUUUGUUUGACACGGCUUUACCUCCUUCUCCAGAGGAUGCAACAAUAAGGCACCAUCUUGGAAGCAGAAAGCAGCCCUCACCAGACACCAAAUCUGCCAGCACCUUGAUCUUGGAUUUCCCAGACUCCAGAACUGUGAGAAAUAAAUUUUUAUUUUUUAUCAAUGAGCCAGUCUAAGGUAUUUUGUUAUAGCAACGCAAACGGACCAAGAUAAUUACCUUUUUUUACUAGAAUAUUUGUUACCUGAGCAUGAAGUUUUAUCUUUCUUUACUGCCUUUUACAUAGGAGGUAAUCAAAUGUGUCCUGAAUUCAGGUUAUUAAAUUAUAUAAUGAAUUAGAUUAUAUUGCCACUGUGUUGUCUCUUUUCACCAAAAUCUACUAAUAAAUAGUUAUGUUAAGAAAUUAAAUAUAUUGCCAGGUGCGGUGGCUCACGCUGUAAUCCCAGCACUUUGGGAAGCUGAGGCGGGCGGAUCACAAGGUCAGAAGUUCAAGACCAGCCUGGCCAAGAGACCAGCCUGGUCAAUAUGGUGAAACCCUAUCUCUACUAAAAA